GUCUCUGUGGCGCAAUGGGACAGCGCGUUCGGCUGUUAACCGAAAGUUUGUUGGUUCGAGCCCACCCAGGGACG
Molecule: transfer RNA, 74 nt
Filed under: Callorhinchus milii (elephant shark)
Lineage: Eukaryota; Metazoa; Chordata; Chondrichthyes; Chimaeriformes; Callorhinchidae
Description: tRNA-Asn (GTT) (tRNA-Asn-GTT-22-1)
Rfam family: tRNA
About the family: Transfer RNA (tRNA) molecules are approximately 80 nucleotides in length.
Source: Rfam by way of RNAcentral